This 299-nucleotide unclassified non-coding RNA is filed under the name Hevea brasiliensis (rubber tree). The record is from RNAcentral. Lineage: Eukaryota; Viridiplantae; Streptophyta; Magnoliopsida; Malpighiales; Euphorbiaceae.
GCCGACGACGGUCUUGACGGUGCCUUCGACUGACUCGACGCCGGACUUCAGCGGCCCGGCGUUGUCCUUAGCGUAGCCGUAGAGGGAGGAGACGCACACCACCGCCUGGAUCGCUGCGGCGUGGACGAAUUCUAGGUACUUGAGAUUCUUGACCUCGACCUCGUUCUCCUGGUUGAUCUGAUCGGGUUGAACGGCGGCCAUUGAGAUUUGUUGAAGGAGACUGAGAAUUUGGGGGGUUUUGGAGGAGAUUAAUUGAUGAAUGUGAGAUUGAAGAUGCUGAUAAGUCCGUUUUAUAAAGG